Molecule: ribosomal RNA, 444 nt
Filed under: uncultured bacterium
Lineage: Bacteria
Description: bacterial SSU rRNA
Rfam family: Bacterial small subunit ribosomal RNA
Source: RNAcentral
UGUCCUACGGGUGGCUGCAGUGGGGAAUAUUGGACAAUGGGCGCAAGCCUGAUCCAGCAAUGCCGCGUGAGUGAUGAAGGCCUUCGGGUCGUAAAGCUCUUUUACCAGGGAUGAUAAUGACAGUACCUGGAGAAUAAGCUCCGGCUAACUCCGUGCCAGCAGCCGAGGUAAUACGGAGGGAGCUAGCGUUGUACGGAAUUACUGGGCGUAAAGCGAGCGUAGGCGGCUACUCAAGUCAGAGGUGAAAGCCCGGGGCUCAACCCCGGAACUGCCUUUGAAACUAGGUGGCUAGAAUCUUGGAGAGGUCAGUGGAAUUCCGAGUGUAGAGGUGAAAUUCGUAGAUAUUCGGAAGAACACCAGUGGCGAAGGCGACUGACUGGACAAGUAUUGACGCUGAGGUGCGAAAGCGUGGGGAGCAAACAGGAUUAGAUACCCCUGUAGUCA